This 75-nucleotide transfer RNA is filed under the name Paenibacillus polymyxa. Its description in RNAcentral is "tRNA-Thr". It matches the Rfam family "tRNA". Rfam says of the family: Transfer RNA (tRNA) molecules are approximately 80 nucleotides in length. Their secondary structure includes four short double-helical elements and three loops (D, anti-codon, and T loops). The record is from RNAcentral. Lineage: Bacteria; Bacillati; Bacillota; Bacilli; Caryophanales; Paenibacillaceae. RNAcentral also lists the same sequence under 1 other name.
GCUGGAUUAGUUCAGAGGAAGAACGCCUGCCUUGUAAGUAGGAUGUCGGGGGUUCGAAUCCCUCAGCCAGCACCA